This 518-nucleotide unclassified non-coding RNA is filed under the name Zea mays. RNAcentral describes it as "misc RNA Zm00001eb245780". Lineage: Eukaryota; Viridiplantae; Streptophyta; Magnoliopsida; Poales; Poaceae. The record is from RNAcentral.
CGCCAUACCUCAACUCGGCCCAGUAAAAAAGUGAAAUCUAGGUAUUCAGCCGCCCAGCCCACGCAGCCCGCACAGCACAGCCGCCGCAACACAGCCGCUGCAGCACAAGACGUCCGCUCGCGGCUCGCCCGGCCGGCCGACCGCCUGUCCGUCCGCGGCCGCCUGCCCACCUCCGUCUCUGGCUUCUGCUUCCUGCGGGCUGCGGUCUUGCCUGGCUGGUGGCUGCCUCUGCCUUCCUGCUGUGCGCGCGUGCUUGUCCGGUUGACCCGUUGGGCGUUGGCUGGCCGGCGGCCGCACGGCCGUGCUCCACCUCCACUGCUCCACGGCUGCUUGCCUGCUUUGCUUUGCUCCGCCUGCUUCGGAUGUGCAGCCCGUGCUCCACUGCUCCGCCUGCUUUCUUUUGCUGCUUUCAAAUUCGGCUGCUUGGAAAGCCUGCUGCCCUGCAGUUGCAAAGCCUGCUGUCAAAGUCUCCUAGACAAAACUAAAAUAAUUGCUUAUUUAGCAUAUAAUCUACAAGG